UCGGCUCUCUGCUCCUCCGAGCCUCCCCCCCGCACUGAAGGAAUCUGCGCUGGGGCUUGAACACUGGCUAAGUUACCUCCCAGAGACGGUGUGAGGGACUCGGGCUGCUCAACCUGCUGCUGCUGUUAUUUCUCGCUUUUUGUUGUCCACCCAAUUAAAGAGCUCUCUGUCACUUUGUGAAGAGUGAAGGAUACCUGUAAAGCUUGCAGAAGAGUGUGUUGGAGAACCACCAUUUUGGUGGUAGAGUGACUAAUCCCAGAUUAACCAUCGGCUAUUCUGGAAACAUUCAUUUUCUACCAGACCCAGAAUAAUGGAUAUAAAAGACAGAAGACAUCGGUCUUUGACAAGAGGUCGGUGUGGGA
Molecule: long non-coding RNA, 362 nt
Organism: Alligator sinensis (Chinese alligator)
Lineage: Eukaryota; Metazoa; Chordata; Crocodylia; Alligatoridae
Exons: 3
Source: RefSeq, a predicted model, not a curated record